GAUGAACGCUGGCGGCGUGCUUAACACAUGCAAGUCGAGCGGAUUGAGGACUUCGGUCUGAUAUUAGCGGCGGACGGGUGAGUAACGCGUGGGUGACCUGCCUUAUACAGGGGGAUAACAGUGAGAAAUCACUGCUAAUACCGCAUAAGACCACACUACUACAUGGUAGAGAGGUAAAAGGAGCAAUCCGGUAUAAGAUGGGCCCGCGUCUGAUUAGCUAGUUGGAGAGGUAAUGGCUCACCAAGGCGACGAUCAGUAGCCGACCUGAGAGGGUGAUCGGCCACAUUGGGGACUGAGACACGGCCCAAACUCCUACGGGAGGCUG
This 325-nucleotide ribosomal RNA is filed under the name uncultured Bacillota bacterium. Its description in RNAcentral is "bacterial SSU rRNA". It matches the Rfam family "Bacterial small subunit ribosomal RNA", at positions 28 to 351 of the family's 1533-position model. The record is from RNAcentral. Lineage: Bacteria; Bacillati; Bacillota.